This 201-nucleotide long non-coding RNA is filed under the name Capsicum annuum. RNAcentral's name for it is "long non-coding RNA (CANN_LNC015339)". Lineage: Eukaryota; Viridiplantae; Streptophyta; Magnoliopsida; Solanales; Solanaceae. The record is from RNAcentral.
UGUGUCAGACUUGUGGAAAGCACCAUUAGGGUAUUUGUAGAGCUAACAGUGAUAUUUGUUUUGAAUGUGGCAAGCUAUUCCAUAGAGUCAAAGAUUGUCCCCAGUCAGGUUUUUAGGGUCAUCCUAACCGUUCCUCAGCUCAGUUCGGUCGCGCUAAUCAGUAGGGUGCCACUUUUAGUGCCACCAGUGGGUAAUGCCCAA